GCCGUUUUUAUUGGGCCUAAAGCGUUCGUAGCUGGCUUGAUAAGUCUCUGGUGAAAUCUCACGGCUUAACCGUGAGAAUUGCUGGAGAUACUAUUAGGCUUGAGGCCGGGAGAGGCUGGAGGUACUCCCAGGGUAGGGGUGAAAUCCUAUAAUCCUGGGAGGACCACCUGUGGCGAAGGCGUCCAGCUGGAACGGACCUGACGGUGAGUAACGAAAGCCAGGGGCGC
This 227-nucleotide ribosomal RNA is filed under the name uncultured bacterium. RNAcentral's name for it is "partial 16S ribosomal RNA". It matches the Rfam family "Archaeal small subunit ribosomal RNA", at positions 494 to 720 of the family's 1478-position model. The record is from RNAcentral.